RNAcentral lists this ribosomal RNA (322 nucleotides) under Weissella cibaria. RNAcentral describes it as "bacterial SSU rRNA". It matches the Rfam family "Bacterial small subunit ribosomal RNA", at positions 95 to 411 of the family's 1533-position model. Lineage: Bacteria; Bacillati; Bacillota; Bacilli; Lactobacillales; Lactobacillaceae. The record is from RNAcentral.
GUGGCGAACGGGUGAGUAACACGUGGGAAACCUACCUCUUAGCAGGGGAUAACAUUUGGAAACAGAUGCUAAUACCGUAUAACAAUAGCAACCGCAUGGUUGCUACUUAAAAGAUGGUUCUGCUAUCACUAAGAGAUGGUCCCGCGGUGCAUUAGUUAGUUGGUGAGGUAAUGGCUCACCAAGACGAUGAUGCAUAGCCGAGUUGAGAGACUGAUCGGCCACAAUGGGACUGAGACACGGCCCAUACUCCUACGGGAGGCAGCAGUAGGGAAUCUUCCACAAUGGGCGAAAGCCUGAUGGAGCAACGCCGCGUGUGUGAUGA